GCAGCAGCCGCGGGAAUACGUAGGGUGCAAGCGUUAAUCGGAAUUACUGGGCGUAAAGCGUGCGCAGGCGGUGUUGUAAGACUGAUGUGAAAUCCCCGGGCUCAACCUGGGAACUGCAUUGGUGACUGCAACGCUGGAGUGCGGCAGAGGGGGAUGGAAUUCCGCGUGUAGCAGUGAAAUGCGUAGAUAUGCGGAGGAACACCGAUGGCGAAGGCAAUCCCCUGGGCCUGUACUGACGCUCAUGCACGAAAGCGUGGGGAGCAAACAGGAUUAGAUACCCCAGUAGUCCCUGUCUCUUAUAC
This 302-nucleotide ribosomal RNA is filed under the name uncultured bacterium. RNAcentral's name for it is "partial 16S ribosomal RNA". It matches the Rfam family "Bacterial small subunit ribosomal RNA", at positions 508 to 807 of the family's 1533-position model. The record is from RNAcentral.